GACGGCACAGACCCGGACCCCUACGUGAAGCUCUACCUCCUCCCGGACCCCGCAGAAAACCAGCAAGAGGAAGACAAAGGCGGCGCGACGCACCUGCAACCCGACCUACAAUGAGAUGGUAAUCAGACAGGAAAUGCACACAUUUAUUUUGGGUUAAAUUGAAUCAGGAACAUUUAUUGCCAAAAUAUGUUUGACAGGACAAAAACUGGAACAAGCGCUUCGAUAGUACGACACUAACACUACUAGUGUUUGUUGGAGCUGGUGUACGAGCGGAUCCCUCGGGGGGACCUGGACCAGAGGGUGAUCCACUUGCGGGUUCUUGGGGACGGGGCUUUCUGGGAGAACACCCUGCUGGGAGAGACCCUGAUCCCGCUGAAGAGGCUGGUCCCGGGUCAGCACUGGGUGGACUGGCACCAACUGGGCGCCGCCGGCUCAGACUCCGCCCACUGACGGACAGGAAGCAGUGGAGUCCAAAGGGAGAGAAGAAGAGAACCAGUCCUUCUUUCGGGGGAUGGAGGAAGAAGAAAAAAGGAAAGUCCUUUCAAAGUAAAAGCUGUGUGGCGGAUCCUCCCUCUGUGUGAGAGGGAGUUUAAAGUUAAACCGUUUAACUUCACUAACAUCAUCAGUUUAGGAUUUUUGGUUUGUUUUUGGGGAAAAAAGACAAAAUCUGGACUUUUUAACUUUUAGUUUUUUCACUUACAGGACGCUUUAAACUUUCAGAAUGUCUGCUGAUGUGAUUUCAAACAAAUUGCACAAUGAAGUCGUUAAAAACUGAAACUUACUUACUAGUUCUUAUUUUAGCUUCAAAUUAGAUACAAUUAUGUGAACUGUAACUGCCAGCAGACGCCCGUUAGAAUAUUUGUUUAAGCGAAGACGCCUUCAGAACGUUACUGUCCAGAGAAACGUGCGUGUUCCGUAUUUCAGUUGCAAAGUGCGUAGACCUUUGCAUAACAUCUCUGAAUAGUCAGACGGCUAAAUUAAUCUAUCUUUAAAGAGCAGUGAUUUUAAUUUCAAUAAACUGAUCGAACGGAAGGAUGACGCCAAUUUGUAAAAAGUUCGAGUUCGGCUCGAUCGAGGCCUGGACGCCGGUGACGACGGAAGAAUCGUCGGUCAUUAAUCAAGUGAUUCAUUUUGCUCUGAGUUUGAGAGGGGUUUUCAUUUCCUUUUAUUCACUGGUUUUGGUUUUGAAGUGGAUGCGACAUAAAUGAGGUGAAAUGAUUUCUGUCAGUGAGAAAAGAAAAACACAUGAUGAGUUAAAGAUGAAUAUAAUCGCGAUUAAAAGAUUGUUUUUCGUACGUUUCAGUCGGCACAGGUGCAUGUUGGGAGAAUUGAGACGCCGUACUGUUCAGUUGGUUUACAUUGCACAAAAUUCGAACAUACUUUAAUACAGUUUGAUUUCCAUCUUUUGGCAAACAAGAUGAAAAACUGAAUCGCAUCAGAAAAAUAAUUUUUGUUGAGUCAUUUUGAAUUCCAUGUGCGAUUUGUUCUGCAGCUUUUAGUGUCCUGAGGAUAAACACCCUCCGCCCCCCUACUGGGCGUCUGUAGUAGAGCAGUUCAAGCUUCGUCUGUACAUGCAGAGCUUCAGCCUCAAUGUGGCCAGCGGGAUAUUCUUAUAUCGAGGAUGAUUUGAUUUCUCUUGUUGGUGCAUGCGAGACAGAGAUCCGGUUGGCCUUCGUUUCCAUGUUUCAUUCCUUCAUUUUGUUUUCAAUCCUGUGAUUUUCUACUGUGUUUGGUGGGAGGGGGACCUGCAGCAGACAAACCAGCACUUUUCCAAAUGUCACACCUUGAAUAUCAGCAUUCUGAGAGACACAAUGUUGAUUUUCGAGUUUACCUUCUUUAUUUGACCUCUUACCUUCGUGACUCAGUUGAGUUAACUUCAACCACGCCCUUUUCUUUACUCUCACAAAGCGGUUUUAUUGCCUAAACCUGACUUCCUGUGAAGGCAGAACUUUAUUUUGAAAAGACGCUAUGUAUGUAACAGAGUUUAUUUUGACACGCCGUCCCUGAGGUGCAGAAAAGUAGCAUGAGUGUUUCUGUGUGAGGCUCAGGAGCACUGAACUAAGCAAAGAUUUGGGAGACGAUCUAUAAAUCAUGAGUUCUACUUUUGACCCAAAUGCUCUCCUGUAAAUCUUCAAAAGGACCAAAUUGGCACAUUGUCUCAGUACUGAUCCUAUCCGGGUAUAUUCUGAGUGGCGACGAUUAGACGACCCGAUUAAUUGGUCGAUCGACAACUAUUUUGAUAAUCGACAACUAUUUUAUAAAAAAAUGCUGAUUUCGCCUCUCAGAUGAGGAUUUUAAAGACUUCAUACAUUUGACAUGUGAAUAAAUGAUAAAUAUACAUUAGGAUCUGCAGAUUUCAUUAUUGAUCAAAAAGUAUAAUCUGUUAACCCAAGACCUAUUUAGAGAUUUGGUGAUUAAUUUUUUAACAAAAAAGUCCCAAGAAACAAUAUUCCUGUCAGAGAAAAGGAGUUUGUGUGAAGUGAUUAUCUUACAUUUUGUUAGAGUUCAGUAGAGCUGAGAGGAGACGAGCAGUGAAGAAAACCGGAGCAGAAUGUAAGUUCACAGUGAACUGGAUCUUUAAGUACUGUACAGACUCCAUGAAAUGUGACGAGGUUUUCCACGGCAGCGCAGGCUUAUUAAUGUCUAUUAAUUUUAUUCUAAACAUGUUUUGUAUUAUUUGCACUACAAAAUAAACUUGAAUUGAACAAAA
Long non-coding RNA from Gasterosteus aculeatus aculeatus (three-spined stickleback), 2710 nucleotides. Lineage: Eukaryota; Metazoa; Chordata; Actinopteri; Perciformes; Gasterosteidae. The record is from Ensembl.